CCUACGGGAGGCAGCAGUGGGGGAUAUUGCACAAUGGGGGGAACCCUGAUGCAGCGACGCCGCGUGGGUGAAGGAGCGUUUCGGCGCGUAAAGCCCUAUCGGCAGGGAAGAAGGAGGACGGUACCUGACUAAGAAGCCCCUGCUAACUACGUGCCAGCAGCCGCGGUAAUACGUAGGGGGCAAGCGUUAUCCGAAUUUACUGGGUGUAAAGGGGGCGCAGACGGCAGCGCAAGUCAGAUGUGAAAACCACGGGCUCAACCUGUGGCCUGCAUUUGAAACUGUGUUUCUUGAGUACUGGAGAGGCAGACGGAAUUCCUAGUGUAGCGGUGAAAUGCGUAGAUAUUAGGAGGAACACCAGUGGCGAAGGCGGUCUGCUGGACAGCAACUGACGCUGAGGCGCGAAAGCGUGGGGAGCAAACAGGAUUAGAUACCCCUGUAGUC
Molecule: ribosomal RNA, 441 nt
Filed under: uncultured bacterium
Lineage: Bacteria
Description: partial 16S ribosomal RNA
Rfam family: Bacterial small subunit ribosomal RNA
Source: RNAcentral